This 468-nucleotide ribosomal RNA is filed under the name uncultured bacterium. Its description in RNAcentral is "partial 16S ribosomal RNA". It matches the Rfam family "Bacterial small subunit ribosomal RNA", at positions 28 to 507 of the family's 1533-position model. The record is from RNAcentral.
GACGAACGCUGGCGGCGUGCUUAACACAUGCAAGUCGAACGGAAAGGCCCUGCUUUUGUGGGGUGCUCGAGUGGCGAACGGGUGAGUAACACGUGAGUAACCUGCCCUUGACUUUGGGAUAACUUCAGGAAACUGGGGCUAAUACCGGAUAGGAGCUCCUGCUGCAUGGUGGGGGUUGGAAAGUUUCGGCGGUUGGGGAUGGACUCGCGGCUUAUCAGCUUGUUGGUGGGGUAGUGGCUUACCAAGGCUGUGACGGGUAGCCGGCCUGAGAGGGUGACCGGCCACAUUGGGACUGAGGUACGGCCCAGACGCCUACGGGAGGCAGCGGUGGGGAAUAUUGCAGAGUGGGCGGAAGCGUGAUGCAGCAACGCCGCGUGCGGGAUGACGGCCUUCGGGUUGUAAACCGCUUUCGCCUGUGACGAAGCGUGAGUGACGGUAAUGGGUAAAGAAGCACCGGCUAACUACGUG